RNAcentral lists this ribosomal RNA (414 nucleotides) under uncultured bacterium. Its description in RNAcentral is "bacterial SSU rRNA". It matches the Rfam family "Bacterial small subunit ribosomal RNA", at positions 28 to 442 of the family's 1533-position model. The record is from RNAcentral.
GACGAACGCUGGCGGCGUGCCUAACACAUGCAAGUCAACUUGACUGAAGGAGCAAUCUGACAGUAGAGUGGCGCAAGGGUGCGUAACGCGUAAGUAACUUGCCCAAGGUAAGGAAUAACGUCGAGAAAUCGGCGCUAAUACCUCAUAAUGCAGCGGAUCCGCAUGGAUAUGUUGUUAAAGGUUUACCGCCUUGGGAUAGGCUUGCGUCUGAUUAGUUAGUUGGUGUGGUAACGGCACACCAAGGCUACGAUCAGUAACUGGUCUGAGAGGAUGAUCAGUCACACUGGAACUGAGACACGGUCCAGACUCCUACGGGAGGCAGCAGUGAGGAAUAUUGGGCAAUGCUCGAAAGAGUGACCCAGCAACGCCGCGUGGAGGAUGAAGGUAUUCUAUAUCGUAAACUCCUGUGAGAGC